CGUAGGUGGCAAGCGUUGUCCGGAAUUAUUGGGCGUAAAGCGCGCGCAGGCGGUCCUUUAAGUCUGAUGUGAAGCCCACGGCUCAACCGUGGAGGGUCAUUGGAAACUGGAGGACUUGAGUGCAGAAGAGGAAAGUGGAAUUCCAAGUGUAGCGGUGAAAUGCGUAGAGAUUUGGAGGAACACCAGUGGCGAAGGCGACUUUCUGGUCUGUAACUGACGCUGAGGCGCGAAAGCGUGGGGGAGGCAAACAGGAUU
Molecule: ribosomal RNA, 255 nt
Filed under: uncultured bacterium
Lineage: Bacteria
Description: partial 16S ribosomal RNA
Rfam family: Bacterial small subunit ribosomal RNA
Source: RNAcentral